GCGGUCAUGGCGGAAUAGGCAGACGCGUACGUUUGAGGGGCGUAUGGUUACACCGUCCGAGUUCAAGUCUCGGUGACCGCACCA
RNAcentral lists this transfer RNA (84 nucleotides) under Firmicutes bacterium CAG:475. RNAcentral's name for it is "transfer RNA-Leu(GAG)". It matches the Rfam family "tRNA". From Rfam's summary of the family: Transfer RNA (tRNA) molecules are approximately 80 nucleotides in length. Their secondary structure includes four short double-helical elements and three loops (D, anti-codon, and T loops). The record is from RNAcentral. Lineage: Bacteria; Bacillati; Bacillota. RNAcentral also lists the same sequence under 5 other names.